AUCUAAUUUUACGAUUUUGAUGUGGAAUUGCAUAGUAUGAGCUGAGACCUAUGCACUUGUAUGGUUGGGUGUUGUAGUCCAUCUGAUCUUUUCCUUCAUUGGAAAUGGUCUAGCACUGUCUAGUGUUUAGAAAAGAUAUGCUUUGCUCUUUUGUAUAAGUAUAAAUCACAACUACUUUGUCAUAGUCCACAUGAUGAAUUUGUAUAAAAAUUUGAAUGUUUCAAUUGGUAGGACCUAAAAGAUAGGACUUGUUUACUGUGGUAAUACACUUUUAAUUUGAUUCAUUUUAACUUGUUCUGUGCUUUGACAUAAAAUUUUCUUUGACACACUUUUGAA
Molecule: unclassified non-coding RNA, 336 nt
Filed under: Hevea brasiliensis (rubber tree)
Lineage: Eukaryota; Viridiplantae; Streptophyta; Magnoliopsida; Malpighiales; Euphorbiaceae
Source: RNAcentral